Odocoileus virginianus texanus is the source of this 2247-nucleotide non-coding RNA. Lineage: Eukaryota; Metazoa; Chordata; Mammalia; Artiodactyla; Cervidae. The record is from RefSeq and is a predicted model, not a curated record.
CUCCGGCACCCCCGGUCCAGGAAGAGUGUAAACACGCGCGCUCCGGAAAGCGUCCUCCAGCGGGAGGUUGCCUAGGGGAUGGUUGAGCUGUGUAAGGCUCCCAGCUAGAGAGAAAAGCUCUGUGCCUAUAUGUCUACAUUUUGCUUUGUCGUGAUGAGCUGCACAGACCCACGCAGAGCUGACUUGGGUAUUUACCCCGGUUCCCACCUCUCAAGUUGCUAACAGUUGAAACCCAUUUCUAACGCUUGAUUAGCAUUCAUUUUCUAGAGAAACCUCCCCCUCCCCCUCGAACACCUGUCCUAAGGACUGUACGCCGGGCCAGGUGGAGGACGGAUGCAGCGCAGCCGCCUCUUACAAAGUGGUUAAGAGGUUAAAAAAGAAGAUUUUUAAAAGUCUACUGGAAAAAGAAUGAGUGUUUCAAGUUCAAAGAAAAUAGUCAAUGCAGAAAAUAUUUGCAUAGAAUUACACGGUGGGGAAAUUCUGCCACGCAGUCAGUCUUUGCUUAGAGAGACCUCCUGAGCUCAAUUUCAGGAAGCAAGUCUUCGAAUAGCCUGUGAAAGCAAGAGGGAAACAGUGUUGAUGCGACAGAAUUCUCCGGAACCCAUUCUCCUGCUGCUGUGAGUCUGGCUGCUAACAGUUCACAGCUAUACCCGUCCCUGGAGAACAUUCUUUGGCCAAUGGGAACUGUCUCACCUGAAGAAGGCCUAGGAGGUUUCACCCCCUCCCUUGGGUGGCCUGCAGCCACAGCUGGACUGAUCUGGAGAUAUAUACCAAGGAGUGGAAUUGGUGGAUCCAGUGGUUCUUCUAUUUUCAGUUUUUUGAGAAACCUCCAAAUUGUUUACCACAGUGGUGGUACCAAUUUACAUUCCCACCAACAAUGUACCAGGGUGCCCUUUUCCUCUACAUCCAUACCAACAUUUUUAACUGUAGACUUCAUAAUGACAGAAAUUCUGACAGGAAGAGAAAUAGAGGGCAGUGGAGCCAGAAAAUGCUUGAUUUCUGGAAGAUGGUGGAACUUAGGCAAGAGAUAUAUUGGCAGGAAAGUUUGAAUAAAAGUGCCAAGAAUAAAGAUGUCAAAUAAGGUUCUUUGUGACAGAGAACAUGAUUUCACAGGGAUUUCAGACAAUUUCAUAGAGGAUAAUGAUAACAUAGAGAAAUAGAAAUCUUUUUCUUCUUGCUGCUUAAAAAAUUUUUUUUAUGUCAUGGCUUUCAGCCCUAUCACUGUAAUGUUUCUAGAUAACUUGGAUCUUAUAUUACUCACAAUUGAACUCUCAGGACCACAGUGAGAAAUCCAAAUACAAGGCCAGCUAGUAAACCGAGGUCCAAUCCCAGAAUGAUGGAUGCUAUGCACGUAAAUACCCAGAUAACCUAGGAAAACAUGAAAAUGAAAAAUGCUAAUUCAUCGGGUACCAUGAGAUGGAUAUGACCACACCGCCGCCCCAUACCUGUGUCUUUCCCCCAGUACUCUCCUGGACAGCGGUGCGGGACAGGGCAGUGGUAGCCACAAAGCAAGAGAAUAAUCCAGAGAAGAUGUUGCUGAUUCCAAAGGCGAUGAAUUCCUGAGAGAGAGAGAAUGAAUGGUAGUGAUGCUACAAAUUAAAUCUUUGGAAGACUCUCGUCAAGCAAAGAGCAUUAAGAAAGCAAACUCCCAAGCCCAGCCUGCCUGAGAGUCCCAGUUUAAUUCUUACCAUUAAAGGUGCUUGGAGACCUUGAAAGACACGUGGAAUCUGGGCUCCAUAAAGCCUAAGAGAGGCUUCACUGCUCUCAACUGUUCUGAAAGAUUGACUUAUCUUUUGCUGAAAUGCUUUAUCUUACUUCCUGCAACCCCUAAUAGAGGCAGCAUGCUCCCCAAGCAGAGAGAGUGGCAGCACCACGCUCCUUCCUGGGGAAACUACACUCAGCAUCUCAGCAUCUCAGCAUCUCAGCAUGGAGCUGCCAUUGCUCUGAACUGUGUUUGUAAGCACCUGUUGAUCUCAGUGUAUUUUGUGCAUCUGUUUGCAAGAUGUGUCUUAAGAUAUUUAAUAAAAUAUGGAUAUAUAAACAACAAAAUAUAUUUUUAAAAUGAAGUGAUACAGCAAGCAUAUUUCAAAAUAACUUCAAAUUAGCACAUGCAGGAGAGAAACCAACUCAGUAAAGAUGGAUGGGAGAAACCACUCCCUUCUUUAACAGACAGCAAAGUCUUUCCCACAUUUUCUUCUUAGUUUCAGUCCUACAACCAGUUCAGCAAAAGGGUGACCAUACCUGGUU